CAAGUCUGAUGGAGCAACGACCGCGUGAGUGAAGAAGGGUUUCGGCUCGUAAAGCUCUGUUGGUAGUGAAGAAAGAUAGAGGUAGUAACUGGCCUUUAUUUGACGGUAAUUACUUAGAAAGUCACGGCUAACUACGUGCCAGCAGCCGCGGUAAUACGUAGGUGGCAAGCGUUGUCCGGAUUUAUUGGGCGUAAAGCGAGUGCAGGCGGUUCAAUAAGUCUGAUGUGAAAGCCUUCAGCUCAACCGGAGAAUUGCAUCAGAAACUGUUGAACUUGAGUGCAGAAGAGGAGAGUGGAACUCCAUGUGUAGCGGUGGAAUGCGUAGAUAUAUGGAAGAACACCAGUGGCGAAGGCGGCUCUCUGGUCUGCAACUGACGCUGAGGCUCGAAAGCAUGGGUAGCGAACAGGAUUAGAUACCCUGGUAGUCCAUGCCGUAAACGAUGAGUGCUAAGUGUUGGGAGGUUUCCGCCUCUCAGUGCUGCAGCUAACGCAUUAAGCACUCCGCCUGGGGAGUACGACCGCAAGGUUGAAACUCAAAGGAAUUGACGGGGGCCCGCACAAGCGGUGGAGCAUGUGGUUUAAUUCGAAGCGGCGCGAAGAACCUUACCAGGUCUUGACAUCCAGUGCAAACCUAAGAGAUUAGGUGUUCCCUUCGGGGACGCUGAGACAGGUGGUGCAUGGCUGUCGUCAGCUCGUGUCGUGAGAUGUUGGGGUUAAGUCC
RNAcentral lists this ribosomal RNA (720 nucleotides) under Lactobacillus gasseri. RNAcentral describes it as "bacterial SSU rRNA". It matches the Rfam family "Bacterial small subunit ribosomal RNA", at positions 378 to 1087 of the family's 1533-position model. Lineage: Bacteria; Bacillati; Bacillota; Bacilli; Lactobacillales; Lactobacillaceae. The record is from RNAcentral.